RNAcentral lists this ribosomal RNA (494 nucleotides) under uncultured bacterium. RNAcentral's name for it is "partial 16S ribosomal RNA". It matches the Rfam family "Bacterial small subunit ribosomal RNA", at positions 28 to 507 of the family's 1533-position model. The record is from RNAcentral.
GACGAACGCUGGCGGCGUGCUUAACACAUGCAAGUCGAACGGUGAAGCGCCUUCCUUUUUGGUGGGUUUGGAUGAGUGGCGAACUGGUUAGUAACACGUUAGUAACCUUCCCCCUUCUUCUGGAUAACCGCAUGAAAGUGUUGCUAAUACGUGAUAUUCUGGGUCUGUCGCAUGAUGGGUCUGGGACAGUUAUUCUUUCGGUGGUGGAUGGGCUCGCGGCCUAUCAGCUUGUUGGUGGGGUGAUGGCCUACCAAGGCGGUGACGGGUAGCCGGCCUGAGAGGGUGGACGGCAACAGUGGGAAUGAGACACGGCCAAGACUCCGACGGGAGGCAGCAGUGGGGAAUAUGGAACAAGGGGAGGAAGCAUGAUGCAGCGACGCGGGGGGAGGGAUGGAGGCCUUAGGGUUGUGAACCUCUUUCGCCAGUGAAGCAGGCCUGCCUCGUUUGUGGGUGGGUUGACGGUAGCUGGAUAAGAAGCGCCGGCUAACUACGUG